Molecule: long non-coding RNA, 1920 nt
Filed under: Salmo salar (Atlantic salmon)
Lineage: Eukaryota; Metazoa; Chordata; Actinopteri; Salmoniformes; Salmonidae
Description: lncRNA (ENSSSAG00000085351.1)
Source: RNAcentral
GGAAGGUAGUGAGGUCUGCACAACGCAUCACCGGGGGCAAACUACCUGCCCUCCAGGACACCUACACCACCUGAUGUCACAGGAAGGCCAAAAAGAUCAUCAAGGACAACAACCACCCGAGUCACUGCCUGUUCACCCCGCUACCAUCCAGAAGGCGAGGUCAGUACAGGUGCAUCAAAGCUGACACCGAGAGACUGAAAAACAGCUUCUAUCUCAAGGCCAUCAUAUUGUUAAACAGCCAUCACUAACAUUGAGCGGCUGCUGCUAACAUACUGACUCAAAUCUCUAGCCACUUUAAUAAUAAAAAAUUGGAUGUAAUAAAUGUAUCACUAGUCACUUUAAACAAUGCCACUUUAUAUAAUGUUUACAUACCCUACAUUCCUCAUCUCAUAGGUAUAUAGUGUACUCUAUACCAUUUACUGCAUCUUGCCUAUGCCGUUCGGCCAUUGCUCAUCCAUAUAUUUACAUGUACAUAUUCUUAUUCAUUCCUAUACACUUGUGUGUAAAAGGUAGAUGUUGUGAACUUGUUAGAUUACUUGUUAGAUAUGACUGGAUGGUCAGAAGUAGAAGCACAAGCAUUUCGCUACACUCGCAUUAACAUCUGCUAACCAUGUGUAUGUGACCAAUAACAUUUGAUUUGAUUUGAUUUGUGAAUCAGGAAUCAGAGAGAGGAAAAAUGGAGGUAGUGUAUCAACAGGUGGAAGUAAAGACACAUACUGUAAUUAAACCAUCAUAAUAACAAAACAUAUUUUUUUUCAACUAAUGGAAGUGUAAAGUACUUAAGUAAAAAAUACUUUAUAGUAACACUUAAGUAGCUUUUUGGGGUAUCUACACUUUACUAUUUAUAUUUUUGACUGCUUUUACUUUUAGUUCACUACAUUCUUAAGAAAAUAUUGUACUUUUUACUCCAUACAUUUUCAUUGACACCCAAAAGUACUCAUUACAUUUUGAAUGCUUAGCAGGCCAGGAAGAUAGUGACAUUCACAGACUUAUCAACCGAACAUCCCUGGUCAUCCCUACUGCUUCUGAUCUGGCGGACUCACUAAACUGACAUGAUUUGUUUGUAAAUGAUGGCUGAGUGUUGGAGUGUGCCCCUGGCAUUCCGUAAAAAAAAGAGAAAAAAAAGAAAAUGGUGGACUCUGGUUUGCUUAAAAUAAGGAAUUUGAAAUUAUUUAUACUUUUAUUUUUCAUACUUAAGUAUAUUUUAAACCAAAUACUUAUAGACUUUUACUCAAGUAGAAUUUUACUGGGUGACUUUUACUUUUACUUGGGUCAUUUUCUAUGAAGGUAUCUUUACUUUUACUCAAGUAUGACAGUUGAGUACCUUUUCCCCCACUGAAAACUAAUAUACACCAGACAAGGUUAAAGAGAGAGAUGUAGAGAGCGAGAGAUCAGAAAGGGAGAGAGAGAUGUGAGAUGUAACAAGCAAAGUUUGACAUGUGUUCUACCCUCUUGUGGAUUUGAGACUCUAUUGACUCUUGUCAAUGAGUGAAAUAGAUUGGUGAAUACUGAUUUGUGACUGCUGACUACAUUGAGUAACUCAAUUUAGAAAAAUAUUUAUUUUAUGUUUCAGAUAGAGUUAAUUUUUUUAUUUAUUUAAUUUAACCUAAAAUGCAAAUAGUUGAAACUGCUUGUUUUCAGAAAUUAGUAGAUAUCUUUGUUGUUGUGGCAGUGUUCUUUGUGCUAUGACUAAAUUAUGAUCCAAUAUGAAGAAAAAAAGAUAGGAUUGUAACUGUAAACUAUGGCAAAACAUGUUAUCCAGUAAAUGUUUCUUCUUCUAUGAUUCUGCUAAGAGGGCGUACUCUCCAGCUAUUUCAAACUUGAUCUUGCUGCGCCCAGGUCCAACUUGGUUACCGGUAGAUGUCACUGUUGCAUAUUGAAGACUAGCUUGGUCACUGGUAGAUGUCACAGUAGCAUAUU